Small nuclear RNA from Panthera leo (lion), 103 nucleotides. NCBI's taxonomy places the organism in Eukaryota, Metazoa, Chordata, Mammalia, Carnivora, Felidae. The record is from Ensembl.
GUGCUCACUUAGCACAAUAUGCUAAAACUGGAACAAUACAGAGAAGAUUAGCAUGGCCCCUGCACAAGGAUGAAUGCAAAUUCAUGAAAAACUUCGGGGGCAC